Molecule: transfer RNA, 97 nt
Filed under: Planctomycetota bacterium
Lineage: Bacteria; Pseudomonadati; Planctomycetota
Description: Planctomycetes bacterium (activated sludge metagenome) tRNA-OTHER
Rfam family: tRNA
About the family: Transfer RNA (tRNA) molecules are approximately 80 nucleotides in length. Their secondary structure includes four short double-helical elements and three loops (D, anti-codon, and T loops).
Source: RNAcentral
GCGAGAGUAGCUCAGUGUUAGAGCGCCAAAAUACCAAAACGUGGUCGUUUCCACCAAUUGGUCACGGAGGUCGGGGGUUCAAAUCCUUCCUCUCGCA